Molecule: ribosomal RNA, 490 nt
Filed under: uncultured bacterium
Lineage: Bacteria
Description: partial 16S ribosomal RNA
Rfam family: Bacterial small subunit ribosomal RNA
Source: RNAcentral
GUGAACGCUGGCGGUAGGCCUAACACAUGCAAGUCGAACGGCAGCACAGUAAGAGCUUGCUCUUACGGGUGGCGAGUGGCGGACGGGUGAGGAAUACAUCGGAAUCUACUUUUUCGUGGGGGAUAACGUAGGGAAACUUACGCUAAUACCGCAUACGACCUACGGGUGAAAGCAGGGGAUCUUCGGACCUUGCGCGAUUGAAUGAGCCGAUGUCGGAUUAGCUAGUUGGCGGGGUAAAGGCCCACCAAGGCGACGAUCCGUAGCUGGUCUGAGAGGAUGAUCAGCCACACUGGAACUGAGACACGGUCCAGACUCCUACGGGAGGCAGCAGUGGGGAAUAUUGGACAAUGGGCGCAAGCCUGAUCCAGCCAUACCGCGUGGGUGAAGAAGGCCUUCGGGUUGUAAAGCCCUUUUGUUGGGAAAGAAAAGCAGCAGGUUAAUACCCCGCUGUUCUGACGGUACCCAAAGAAUAAGCAUCGGCUAACUUCGU